AUUAAAUGGAAGGAAAAAAACCAAACCCACCUUGCAGUGCCAUUUUGGUCAUACAACAAAAUGUGGAGUCAGCUCUGAUCCUGGUGAUACAAGAGGAAGAAUUGGAAAGCAUUAAGAUCAUGCAGAAAGAGUUUCAUCCUACAGAAGGCAAAGUGACUUCAGUACCUCUACACUGUGCUGUGGGAGAGAUUUGCAACUUGGGUCCAAACUGAGAAACUGCAGUGAUAGGAGGAAUUUGCAAUAUACAUUACUGCUACAAGGUAAACCAAUGAUUUUAUUUUCUGUGUUUUCCCUAUAUAACUUCAGCAACAUGAAAUGCUACAAGACUCCCAAUGUGCCAAACAACAGAAUCAUUUUAAGCAGAAGGUUAUUUUAUUAGGCCUGAACAAAAUGCAGUGUUCACAGAAAUAACACACCAUGAGUUAUGAAUGUGUUUACCAUUUCAUCCCAGGCUCAUUCCUGUUCCAGUUCAGUUUAAUAACAAGAUGUUGUUAAAUUCAAAAGGAGCAGAUAGAGACUAGUAUAAGGAGUGAUGUUAUAUUAAAAAUCUUGAAGGCAAGAAAACAAUUUCUGUAGAGAAUUUGGUACACCUCAUUACAAAAUUACAUUAAGCUCAUGGGGAAUGUUCUAUGCAUUGUUGCGUGUUCUGUGUUGAGAAAGAAAAGCUGAAGUCUUCCAACAAGCAAUUUGUAUUAUACAGGUAACAUUUCAGUUACUAAUAUCUUAGUUGUGAACACAUCAUUUGAAGAUUAUUUGUAAUUAUAAAUAUCAUCACUUCUGAGAUUUAAACAUGAAUUAAAAUCAGUUUGAAAAGAAACAAGGAAAUGCCCUUAAGAUUGAAUUGUUUUGCUCAAUCUGCAUUACCUAAAGGUUAACUAGGUCUGAGGUUCAAAACAGCUGGUAUUCAGUUCUUCAGGAGUGUCAGCAUUGUUAUCUAGUGGUUUGUGACACUGCAUAAGAAGAAAUGAAAGCUGCAUACUGCUAGAAAUAGGAGGAAAACCAGCUUUUAGCCCUAUGACAUUGCAUAAGUACUGCAACACUGAGGAUGAGUUCUGCUGGUAUCAGCUGAAAUGCAGCAGGAGGAGCUCUCCACCCUCCUUGACAUCCCACAUGAACCUAUAACUCACAGCAGCCACUUCCUGAGUAAACACAUUCAAUUUGGGGAAAAAAAAAAAAGAAGAAUCAAAGCAGUCAAGUGUGCAAGUGGGGCAAAUGCAUCUGAUAAGUUAUAUCUACUGAGCUACAUGUAGUGACUUUCCUCCAUAAAAGUUAUCUGGUCCUAGUUCCAUCAUUUUUAUAUUUAAUUUUUGGAAUUAUCUCUCAGGUUUUGACCUUCUACAAAAUGUCAGUAACUAUGCAGAUGAUAUUAAGUUGACGAUAUUAUUAGCCUAAAAUGUUAUCAUUAGAAUAAUUGCAUAUGGUAAGUACAGGGAAAUUUUAAUGUCCAUAUUAUCAGGUUGUUUUAUGUUUAAUACAGCGGUUUGAUCCUAGAGCAAUGUUAGUUUAUUUACUGUUCAGUGUAUCAGUAUACUUUUAAGAAAGCAUCUGUGAGCAUGAAAAUUAUCCCUGCAAUUUUUGUUUUUAUGUUACUGCUGCUGUUAUAUUCCUACUAUUUUUAUUGCUACUUUUUGUUCCCGUCAUGCACUACCCAACAAACAAGAAGCAAAAUAAGUGGGCUUACAAAAUUAUAUAUCAAGACUUUCAUUCUACUGUGAAUAACAUAAGAUAUUUGAAUCUUGGAAUAAAUACAGUACUGAUAAGUGCAUUUAUACAUUAAAUUAAGGGCUUCUUAAUGCUACUUACAGAAACACAUGAAGACUGAUUUAUUUGAAUCAUGAUCUAAUACAUGGGAAAAUUGUUUUCAUUAAAAAAGAAAAAACAUCCGGGUGAAAACAAAAAAUCUGUAAUGUUGUAAGAACAAACCUAAUUCCAUUUUAUUGUGAUCAGGAAGUCACCAACUUUGCAUACAGACCUGAGAAGACAAAAAUGGGAAUAUUACUGAUUGGCACUAUAAUGUUAGUAUUUUGUGUCAAUGUGAAGAGCAUCCCAGUGAAGCUGCUGCCAACAGAUAGUAUUCCCUUACAUCACAGAGAUCCAAGCCUUUGUUUCUGCCAAAGAUUAACAAAUUCUACCGAAGAAAUAGCUCUCCCAAACCACACUCUAAAGCUGAAAAACACGUUUCAGGCUUGCUCAUUGGUCUAUAACAUUUAAGUCAGUGAUAAAUGACAGUCAGUAGCUGUUUAACCAGAACAACAAGAGUAACACAUGUUGUUGUAUCAUUUGCAUUCCCGGAGAACAGAAAUAUCAAAGUGGUUAUAAUAACAUAUAACAUUCCAAUGUUAUUAGACCAAAACAUAUCCUUCUCCAUAGCUAGUGCUAUGCAGGUGAGAAGAAACAAGUAUUUUUAGCUUGUAGUGGAAAUGUAGUCAUCAGGUUGAGGGAGAUGUGUUAGACUAGAAGCAUGGGUCACAUAUGACAAUACAAGCUGCUCACUGUUGUAACACAGUCCUGCCAAAGAGAUGUACUUCAGAUCAUUGAUCUUUGAUAUUUGAAUUAGAACAAAUAUUCAAAUUUUAUGGAGGGGAGAAGAUAAUUUAUACUGUCUCAGACUCUCCCCUUGGACUCUGACCCCUAAAAUGUACCAUCCUACUCCAUACUGAUCUGUUGCAAGGAGGAAUUCUUGCCCAAACUAACAGUGAAACUAAAUCUUCUUCUAAUCUCGACAGCACUCUUCCUGAGAAACUGCAAUAUAAAAUUUAUCAAAAACUCAGUGGCUGCCAAGGCUAAGAAAGAUGGAUAUUUUUCUGGUAAUCCAAAAUUUUAAAUGAAUAAAGUGCAGCCCUUGGGUACAAUCUCUUAUACUUGCCAGAGUCUGUAGUAUCAAUUUUAUUUAAAUUUUGAGAGUGAUUAAUAUACACAAAGGCAGUUUACUAAUGCUUUACCCAUUUGUAGAUUAAACAAAGACUCAUUAGCUCACAUGAGACUGUUCAGUUUUAUUUUUAGCUACACUAUGGCUGGUGCAAUGACUCUUCUUUUAGCAUUUUCAUUUUGCAUUGCCUUCAGUCCUGACAUGAAAGUUAACAUUAAUCUGCCAACUCAUUCUGAUUGGAUUGCUUUGGAAGUCACUCCAAAGUCACAAUGGCUAAAUGGGAUGAAGCUGUAAGACAGAAAUGCACUGCAGUUAAUACCUCUGCAGUACUGAAGCUAAGCCAGGGCCAGCCCUAAUUCCUAAAAGAAAACAAAUCCACAAUAAUCCAUCCCUUAAUUCUGAACAGAGUGGCACAAUGCCAAAUAAUAUAAAACUUGCAUUCUUUACAAAAGCACUGCAUCUUAUUCCACCGUGGAUUCUCUUGGCCUUUUAUUCGUGUAAUUUGAGGUCAGUGAGCAGCAUACAUGUGAAGGUGUUAUCUAUACUGACACUUACAGCACUCCAGUAUUCUCCUGAAGUAAGAGGACUCAGGGAGGAAAUGGCUGCUGAAACAAUACAUUUAAGCUUCUGUUGCAACAAUUAGAGGGCAAAAAUUAAGAUUCUUUCUAAUACCACAGCCAUUCCCACCCAGGACUUUUUUUCUAAGUGUAUUUUCAGUCAUUUAAUCCAUCUAAAGUCCAGUUGGGUAAAACUACAAUUGUUACUGUUAUUUUCUUAAUCUGGGUCAGAUUUUGGUUUUACAAAAAGAAAGGAUGGCCCCAUUCAUGUCUAAUUAGACUCAAACCAGAGAUUUUGAUUAGGAGCAUGCUGAUUUUAGCCCAAACCUAGACUGUGUUUUUAGAAUCUAUUCUCCCUAGAGUCCUCUCAUGAUGAUAAUUUAGCGUGACAAAAAGAACCAGUUUAGACAUUUCUAUCUUCAUCCAAAUAUGUGUCUUCAUAUAGAAAUAAGCCUUAAAAUGUUUUUCCUAACACGAAAUGUCCCACAGAAAUAUAUAUGCAUGUUGGGAUGUAUUAGGUGGAUAACAAGUAUCUCUAGAGGUCAGGUAUCAUUUAGGACUCCUUAGGAUUCCUUUGUGACAGUUGUCUUAUCAUGUAAAUAUCAUAUAAUAUUAAAAUUUGUUUUGUAUUAUUAACAUAUAUAUUUCAACUUCAUGUUAAAUCAGACUGUAAGAGUUGUUCAUUACCUUACCAGAGAUGACAAACAAGAACAAAGCAGUAAAGUGCCUCACUUGUUUCAGGAUUGACCGACAUAGGGGGAACGAUUGUUUACGAGGGAGGAUAGCGAUAGGACAAGGGGGAAUGGUUUUAAACUGAGACAGGGGAGAUUUAGGUUAGAUAUUAGGAGGAAGUUUUUCCCUCAAAGGGUAGUGACACACUACAACAGGUUGCCCAAGGAGGUUGUGGAUGACCCGUCCAUGGAAGCAUUCAAGGCAAGGCUGGAUGUGGCUCUGGGCAGCCUGGUCUAGUGGUCGGCAACCCUGCACUCAGCAGGGGGGUUGAAACUAAAUGAUCUUUGAGGUCGUUUUCAACCCAGGCCAUCCUAUGAUUCUAUGAUUCUAUGACAUUACUGUAAAUGAAAUCCCAGUAAUCCUGAAAUUCUAAGGCCUGGAAGUUAAAUAUUUCUUCAUAGUAUAGAAAUAUUUCAAGAAAUCCAAUUUAACAUGUAUCAUAGGAUAUUGAAAACAAUUCAUUUUUCAAACUGAACUUGAUAUAUUCUUGACCACACGUGCAGACGGCUGUGCAGACAAAAAUGAUCUUUUCCCUUCCACCAUGUUUUUAUCACUAUAGUACAUCUGGCCCCAGUGCCAUUGUCAGUGCGUGGCUGGAUGUCUGGAGUGAUGCAUAAUGAUAACUAACCAUGAGACAGCCCCCUUUACUCAGCCAUGUCUGCAUUCAGUUCUGUGUGACGACCUGGUAUGGCUUUGAAAAGCAAUGUCACUUCAUCAGGUUAACCCUACAUUUGUGUCAGGCCCUAUCUGUUCACCUGUACUGUGCUGACACAGCUAUUUGCUUCUGUUCUGAGGUCCAACUGUAGCUCUGCAUUAGGCAUUCGUGUAUGUAUAUAAGGGAACAUUCUUGCCUAUUGUUAAAAUCUAUUUUUAAAGGUUGAAAACUGUACUUACCUCCAGCAAAUGCUGCAAACAAUUGACUCACAAGUGAACUAUAAAUAAUGCUCACAGCAUAGAGCCCAUGUAGCAUACUGCUCUAACAUUACUGAAUAUUCAGAACCUGCUGCCUCUGGUAGCUAUAUACGUCAUGUUCAUGACAGGUUCAGGCUUCAGUAGCCCAGAGCCCAAGAUCCGGCAUGUGUUUUGGAACAAGAGCAUUUGCGGAUUAGUGAAUACCAGCCACAGGGCCAGGUAUGAUGGGGAAAGCUGGAAAUACAAAGUGUCUCUACUGACAUUCUAAAUAUUACCACAAAAGUAUAUGAAAUAUAGGGAUUGGGAGGAGAUGAGGGGAAUUUCUGCCAAAUACUGCCAGAUAUAAAGCAAUUUAGAGAGCUACAGGCCCAGCCUCCAUCAUAUGCAAGACUUCUGAUUCGGGCAGAUUUUUGAAGGAAGUACCGCAGACAUAGAAUGUAGGAUGAAAGUGGCUUUGGCAAGGAUAGAUCUUCCCAGGCUGGGCUGCUAAAUUUUUGACCAACAUCAAAACAAGUGUGGUGGGAGAUGGAGCUGUUAUGGUUGUCUCCCUGUGGGUUAAUGGGUCAGCCCUAACCAAGGAAAGGGCAGAACAGAGCACUUAGCCCCUUGGGAGUACCAGGGGAGAAGUGAAGGAGAAGGAGCGGUUUUUCCAUGUUUUGCCAUUCAGAAUGAUGCAGCAAGUCUCCAGCACCCCUACCACAACCAAACAGACCUGCAACAAACAGACCCUACUUGUCAGGGAGAGAAUAAGAGGAAAAUGAAAUACACGGUCAAAGAAACGAGCCCAACAACUGUGACAUGUACACAGCAUCAGAUCUGUGUCUGAGUUCAACACAGCAUUAUAGCCUCAUCCAAAGUUUGUUGUCUCUCUUAGAAGAAAAUGAAAUGUGAGAUCAUGGAGGCAAGAUUCUGGCAGGGGUAUAACCAUCUCUUCACUGUGCUGUAUCUCAGGUAUUAUAUUCAACAAGAAUCUGAAAUGCUGUAGUGCAUACAUGUAUAGGCUGCUAUUAAAUCAAGUCAGCUAGAGGUCAUUAACACCCAGUAACUCAAUGCUUCUAUGAUGAGAAUGUGCCUACUUCUACAGCUAUUGAAAAAAAAUCACUGCAUUUGUACUGCAUCUUGGUUUAUGACUCAACUUUUUCACACGCCAGUCUCUCAACUAACUCUAUUAACUCUUCAAUAUACAUAUGUAGAUGAAUUAGUCAGUUGGACUGUUCAGUUGUUCCACAAGUCACAUUGUGGGUCUAAUCUACCUAUUUAUAUAGAAAAGUUGGCUGGGUGUAAAAAAAGAUAUUUCAUAAAUUAAGCUACAUAGGAAAUAUUUGGAUUUCGAGCAUUUGUUCUGAGACAGUAAAUGAAUGAAACAGAUAUCUUAUUUCUGACCAUUCUUUUACUAUUUACCCAGGCAAAGCUACUUUGAAGAUUAUUCAGACUCUGCUGUUUAAACCCAAGGUUAUGGCAAGUUCUACAUCUCACGUGAAAAAUGAUGUCAUUCCUUUAUGGGAAAGGAUUAUUACAUGUAAAAACACUGUUAUCUUGAGUUACAACUGAUCAAAAAAAUCUAAGAUAGUUACAGAUAUUUCUGCUGUUGUACUUUGCAUGUUCUAUUUUAUUUUAUUUAAAUUUAUUUUAAUAAUUUUUUUUAUUUCAGAUUGUUCUGGGAAAAUCCCUCCAUAUAUAAGUUGUGGGAAAAUGCUUCAGUUAAUUAAAUAGAAAUACUAUCAAAUGCAUAGAGGAUAGACUUGUGGUUUGUUUUUUUUGUUUUUGUUUUUGUUUACAUCUAAAUCCCAAACAAGUAUAAAUGCAUUCUUUUGCUGCCCUGACGUAGCACCAGUAAUCGAAAUUCAAAGUGUAUAUGCUGGACUGUUUUCCAGCUCUGUAGUAGGGACAAGAAAUUUCAAUGAAAAUAGAGUUCCGGCUUUGCCCUUUGCCCUUUCUGCCUUACCACAUUCUACUCAUUAUUUUGAUUCAAUCUUCUGUUAAAGGAUUCUUCCAUCAGUUCUCAGAUAACUGAAAAUAAACCUAUGUGAGUUCAAACAAAAUUCAUCUCCAAUGUGCCACACAGUAUUUUAAACUUAACAGUUGCUUGCAGAAAAAUGUAUAAGUAGAUUUCCAAAUCAAUGAAAAGCAAUAAAGAUUUUUUUCCUGGUAUUUGUCAAUUGUAGGGUUAACAAUUUCAGAAGAUUUAAAAUGAACACUGAUUUUGGUUGGCAAAUUAUUAUGACAUCAUCUUUUCCCAGAUAUACUAUAAAAUGCCCAUAAUUCUUUUGGUUUUCCUAGGGCCUGGCUGAGGACUAAAUCUGUUCUUUCUUACAGAAUAUUGGAUUUUUUGAAAUUAUGGCUUCACUAUGGACUUCUGAGAUAUUUUUUAGCAGAAACGAAAUAAAAAGGAGUUAUUAAAAGCACAAUUAUUGGAUGAUUUGGCAACAUUACACCUAAAGCAUAAAAACCAUCUUCCACUUCAUUUUUUCAUAUUCUGCUCCUCUAACUUAGAUAAAUCUGGAAUUUACUUGAAUGCUGAAAAGAAGGGAAGGGCAGGGCAGGGCAGGGAAGGGAACGGAAGAGAAAGUGAUUCCUGCAAAUAUGUAAAAUAUUAUUACCAUAAUAUAACAUUAAUUAAAAGAAAAGAGCUUACAAAACCUUAGAAGAAACAGGCUUAUGUCAAGGACAUCGACAGUUCACUGUAGGGAUGCUGGAGAAGGAUGUGAAAUUUCACUAAGUUUUAUCGUGUACUUCUGGAAAUUACUUGAAGAAUACCAUUCAUUUUCCCUUGAUUCUUUCCUGAUGGGUCAGCAUCAAAGGAGAAAAAAGACUAAAGUAUUUAUUGCAUUGUAAGUAUUUAGAGAAUUAGAGACUUGAAGUUAUUCAUGUAGAUUGUCUGCCAUUUUUACUGAGAUUUUCUUUGCUAAACAGACUUGAAAAAUGUUUUAUAAGCCUCUGAAAUGCUUGCAGUAAUUUAAUUUCCUCACUUUUAUGUCAGUCUCUCAUUCUUCUGUCCUUUAACUGGAAGUCAGAAAGACAAAAUCCUGGUGCUUGAGUUGAAAGAAUACCAUUAGACAGAGUUCAUUGACCUGAGCCUUCCACAACAUUAACUGUACGUAUGAUACCACUGAAUUACAAUACAGUUUUUCAUUGCUUCAGAAAACUGUAGAAGAGCAUAGCAGGAGGAAGUCUUCCUGAUGCCUCCUUAGCACUUCUUGUGGCCAUUGCUCAGAUACAGAUAAAGAGUGGAAGAGGAAUGACUGCACAAGCUCGAAACUAAACAGAUGCAGAGUAGGUUUUAAAGAAGCCUGAAAAUAACUGGACAAUCAGUACAAAAAAAUAAGGAUUCUGGAACUACAGGUGACAGAUUUUUUUUUUAAUUUGAUGAAACUUCAGACUCAAUUAUGGUAAAAGUCACAUAAAAACUGUCAAAAUUCUAGCUGCCAAUAUAAUGAUAUCAAUUAAUUUAAAUACUAAGAUCUGUAAAGGAUGAAUUUUCUUUCAUCAUGUAGACCGUCAGAUGUAGAAAAUUAAAUUAAAGGCAGAGGCUAUUUCACAUAGAAGCAGCACUUUCCAUAUGCAGAAGAAGAUUUAUUUCCAGAAAACAAAACGUGAUUUGUUAAAGAAUUAGGAAUGGAUUCAGGACUGCAGUUAUGCAGUAGGACACUCCUACAUGUCCUACAUGAAAUAUCUACCAUGAGGCAUGUUUCACACAAAGUUGUUCAGCAAUCAUGGGUAAAGUCUCCACUGUUCCACAGCCUUUAGCCUCUUCGUGAUUACAUAUGGUUUUAAACAACACUGACAACCUCAGUAUUUUUAAGGAAAAGAAACAAUACAGGAUAGGAAGUCAGCAACUCACAAGUGUUUCUGAUCGGCAGGAUAUUAUUUGUAACAUCUAGACGUAUAAUAUUUUAAGUAUGAAAAUUUCUGUAGCACCUAAUAUAACAGAACUUUGAGAUAUUUUUUGAAGUAGUGCUAAUAAAAAACUUUCUGAUUGUUGAUAUACAUAAAUGCAUGAAGCUAUUGUGCCAUUAGUGACAUAAUUUCUUAACCAUCUUGUUUAGAAAAAUGCACACAAGUUCAGUUUUACAAGUUCUAGGAAGCUUAAGAGAAUACCAAAAAUCUAAAUAUGGAAAUAGAGCUAUUUGUUCUAUCAUUAGUAAUGCAGGAAGUGGAGAAAGAAUAGUGAUGUUCUUAACGUGAUCUAAAAGUUUAGGAUUACUAACAAAGAUCAUUAACUUCUGGGAUCUAUGCAGACCAUGUCUGAGGACUGGAUUUAAGCAGAAUUUAGGAAAGAAUAUAGCUUUAUCUCCUAGCUUUUCAUAUGAAAAAGUAUUGGUUCUGUUACUUCUAGCAUGGAGGAUCCAAAAUCUAGUUGUGUGGAUAGUUGCCAAAUUUAUUGUCCAGUAGCUUGAAUUGACUUCUCUUUUUCCUGCAGCAGACUGGCAGAGCAUCUUCUGGCUUGAUGAAACUUGAGGAAAGAAAGACUUGGAAUCUGGUGCUAGAAAUUGCUAAGCAUCAAGGCUAUUGAGAGUAUCACUAGAAAGCAACCUCUUCUGCUGCCUCACUGAGAAAAGGAGGGAGGAACUUGUCGCAGCACAGUGCAAGAAGAGUCUAAAAGUCAUCACAGUCUUGUGUCACCCCCAGUAAUAAGCACUUGCCCCUAAUGCAUGUUGAUGGCCUCAGGAAAUCUGUGCUGAGUACUUAAGAAAUUCAAUGACCUUCAGAUUGAAGAGAAUCCUGGAAGGGCAAGAUGAAGAAGGUGGAUCAGCAGCAAUACAGCUCUUCAUUAUGCCAUAACAUCUGCUGCUAUCAGACUGAAAACAUUUCCGUUCUUCUUAGUCACACUUUGAGCCCAAGCCUAAUCCUAUGGUUAAAGUAAAUUCUGCAUUCAUCAGGAACAUUUCAUAUAUAUAUUUACACAGAUGACUUACAUACAGAUGAGUAUGAACCUUUGUACCACUGAAUAAGAAAAGAAUAAAUGGCAGUGUAACCUCUGAAUAACUUCAAGACAUAAGAAGCGAAGUAGUUCCACAAAGUUCCCUGAAAUAAAAUGCAUAUAAAUGAAAAAGUCGCUGUCAGUGACUAUGAUGGAAGCAGGCUAGCAUUGGUCAAAUGAUUUUAAAACAGAGUUAAAUCCCAGGAAGAACUCUGGAAGCCAAAAUUCCUUCCAUGGAAAUCUAAAUCAUAUGUACCCUGAAAACUUAAGUCUUCCCUGUCUCUGUAUACAUACAUCAUAGAAUCAUAGAAACACAGAAUCAUAGAAUGGCUUGGGUUAGAAGGGACCUUAAAGAUCAUGUAGUUCCAGUCUUCUUGCCAUGGAGCAGAGUUGCCAACCUCUAAAUCAAGCACUGGGUUAGGUUGCCCAGGAUCCAUCCAACCUGGCCUUGAACACUUCCGUCUUCAUUGGAGAGGUGCGCCAGACCUCUUAUCAUCUUCAUGGAUCUUUUUUUUGGACCCUCUCCGACAGCUCCACUUGUGCGGGGGGCCCCCAGACCAGGAUGCUGUACUCCAGAUGGGGCCUCAAGAGGGCAGUAGAGGGGAACAAUCACCUCCCACACCCUGCUGGCCACCCCUCUUUCAGUGUAGCCCAGGAUACAGUUGGCCUUCUGGGCUGUAAAUGCAAGGCCUCCCCUGGCUGAAGCAAUAAGGAAAGGCAAUGAGAAUUCAAUAUUUGAGAACUGGCAGACUUUGUUCCACAACAAAUACUGACAUGUGCCUUGAAGAACACAAGUUCAUGAAGAAAUGGAAGAUGUAUGCAGAAGAAGGAGAGAAGACAGAGUCAGCAAUUUUAGGCAUCGAUACGCGUCAGAGGAUUACACAAGUAGUGCUGCUUGACCAGGAGGGACAAUCAGAAACAUAGGUAGACCCAAGACUCGAGGUGGAAUAUUGUGCAGUGGCAGUACUGCACGCAAAAUACAAAAGAGAGAGCAAUUUCUUGAAGAGUGUAAUCAACAAGUUGUGAUUUUCUUAAAAAGAUAAGUGAAAAAGUGCUGUAUUACUCUUGUGUGAAGGGAAACCACACGGAGCACAGUUACACUAUCCUCAGUGGAACAAUGAAGGGGACUGUGCCCAAGGGAAUGCAAUACCUCCUGAAACUGAUGGAUGUGCAUGAAAAGUAGUGACUUCUUGCCUUUAUUUAACAUGGGAAACUUGUUCAUUGUAGUGUCUGCUCUGUGAUCAAAGAGGAAUUUCUCCAUGUAAUCUUUUUACCAGGAGACAUGGGAACUUACUAGGAUUUACCCUGGCAUACAAAGGAUGAUGAAAGGAAACUUAAACAUCUGCAAAUGCCAGUGAGGACUGACAACAGUCUGCACUUACUUUCUGGGUGUGCUUUUUAGGUCAUUUGUGGGAAACAUUUUGUUAAAUAAAUUGAGCUUUUUUUUCUAUAGGAGUCUGAAAUAGCCACCAUCAGCACUGCCAGCUUAUGGGACGGGGAUUAUCAUGCAGUGGGGAAAUUUGUUGAAGCAAACACAACCCCUUAGCAAUUCUCCUCUCUGUGUUUGCCUUCACGACUGCCUUGGAUGAGUGCUCAAAGAUUAUAUAACCUGGCAGCAGCUCUUUAGGCUGGUUUUUGAGCCUACAAUAUCUGCUGUAUCUUGCUCAAAAUAAAAAGGAUGUACUUGAUCAGAGUUAUUUAAAUACUACUGUCACUAAUGCAGCUUCUUUCAUAUGUCAGACAUUAUCAACAUUUUACAUUUUUCUUAUUAAAGUAGUUAGCAAUAAUUAAUUUUUUGUGGCUCUAUUCCUACUUAGAAAAGGCUAAAUAGCUGGCAAGCCUCUUAAAGUAGGAUUAGACUGCAGACCAGCUCAGACAAUGCUUCCAGGCAUUGGGGGUGUACUGCAGAAUCAGUUUAAUAAAGUCUGAUUAGAUUACUUUCUCUGGUCAAUUUGAAGCACACUGGCCACAGGAUAAAUCAUCUUUUUAUCUCACUGCUUUGCUCUUUUUCUUUGCUGAAGCAUAUUUUAAAAACAUUAAACAUAUUUUCUAAACAUCUAUGUAUUUACAGAUGCAAAAGAAGCAUAACCUUUUGAAUUCCCUGUUGCCCUAGCGCAGUUUGAUAUUAUAACUCAGAGUAAAAGAUACACCCAUUCUCUGAGAUGUCUGUGAUCAGUUGUUUACUUUCUUAAUACAUUUCCAUUUUUCCUUUCAUAGAAGUCCCUGCUUGUGUCACAAGAAAACAACCUUUCAUUCCUUAACCGGAUCUGUUAAGAUAAUAGUUUAUGUAGUGAAAAAUGGUUUAUGUAUUUUAUACAGUGGUAAAGUUAGAUGCUUCUGAUAGAUGACCAGUUUAGGAAGAGUGUUGAAUUUAGUCUUUUAUUGGGAAAGUAGGAAUACAGAAUUAUAGAAUCAUAGAAUGGCCUGGGUUGGAAUCUUGGAUCUUAAAGAUCACUUAGUUCCCAUAUCUUUAAACUUGAUUUGUUACAUGUGUUGCUGAGCAACUGUAGAUUUAUUCCGAAAGUCUCAGUUUAGAACUACUUUUUCCUUUAUAAGUUGUCAGUGCUUACAGUAACAUUGUGCAAGUUUUCCACCUAAUGCCAUCUCUAGUAGAAGAGUUAUUUAAACAUUAAGAUCAGAACAAAAUAUGCCUUCCUCUAGCUUUUUUUAAGAUGCUUAAUUAUGCCAACAGCAAUUAGUAGCCAGCUUAGUUUCUUGAAAUCAUAUUACUCCAGUCUGUUUUGCCUUUCAACAGUCUGUGCCCAAACAUUUCUUCAAAUUUUUAUGUGGUCUAGAACUUAUCUGCUGAUACACAAAUUCUGUUUGCAUAAUGUACAUUCACAUUUUAUUUUCCACUGGAACAUAAAAAUGUAUUUUGACUUCUCCCAGGGUUAUUUCUACACUUUGGGAAAAUAAUGCAUUUCUACGUUUAUGAAUAUGAAGUGUCCAACCCAGAGGCUGUCUAUGUAAAGGUCCAACCCUGCUCAUGUUUUCAUUCCAUUGUGUUAAGUACAGAGCAAAUAUUUUUAGUGGUUUGUAGGCCACUGCUCCACAAUUUCUUGUAAAAUGGCCUAAGAUUUGUUUAAAGGAAAACUACUUUUCUGCAUUAUAACUGUUAUUACUGUCAUAAAAAAUGAGGUGAUGAUACGAAAAAUAAAAGAUGAAAAUAGAAUGAAGUAUUUCCAAAGUUCCAAUUUAAAGGGUGCGUUUUCAAGCCUGUUCAAACUUUGUUUAACUAAGAUGAUAAUUUAAAACAGCUUAUGUCUAUGCAGUCUAUCUUUUCAUACAUUCUUCCUUUUUAUUUUCUAAUUAACUAUUAAUUAACUAAUUUCUAAUUAACAUUUAUGGACAUUUCCUUCAGAUUUUAUUCAUGCACUCUUUUCAAAUAGCUGAAAAGGUCUUGAGGGUAACCCCAAGUAUGAAUGGUAAGCUGGACAUGAACCAGCAAUGUGCUCUCACAGCUCAGAAAGCCAGCCGUAUCCUGGGCUGCGUCAAAAGAAGUGUGGCGGGCAGGUUGAGA
This is a long non-coding RNA of Numida meleagris (helmeted guineafowl), 13511 nucleotides long. RefSeq lists it as uncharacterized. Lineage: Eukaryota; Metazoa; Chordata; Aves; Galliformes; Numididae. The transcript is spliced from 5 exons. The record is from RefSeq and is a predicted model, not a curated record.